Molecule: long non-coding RNA, 556 nt
Filed under: Homo sapiens (human)
Lineage: Eukaryota; Metazoa; Chordata; Mammalia; Primates; Hominidae
Description: HSALNT0263144
Source: RNAcentral
GGGCAGGUGGAUGGAUAUGGUGGAUGGAUGGAAAGAUGAAUGGAUGGACAGUUAGAGUAGUGAGUGAGUAGAUGGGUGGGUGGACAGAGUAGUGAGUGAGUAGAUGGAUGGGUGAACAGUUAGAGUAGUGAGUGAGUAGAUGGAUGGGUGGACAGUUAGAUGAGUGAGAAGAUGGAUGGGUGAACAGUUAGAGUAGUGAGUGAGUGGAUGGAUGGGUGGACAGUUAGAGUAGUGAGUGAGUAGAUGGAUGGGUGGACAGAGUAGUGAGUGAGAAGAUGGAUGUGUGGACAGAGUAGUGAGUGAGAAGAUGGAUGGGUGAACAGUUAGAGUAGUGAGUGAGUAGAUGGAUGGGUGGACAGUUAGAGUAGUGAGUGAGUAGAUGGAUGGGUGGACAGUUAGAGUAGUGAGUGAGUAGAUGGAUGGGUGGACAGUUAGAGUAGUGAGUGAGUAGAUGGAUGGCUGGACAGUUAGAGUAGUGAGUGAGUAGAUGGAUGGGUGGACAGUUAGAGUAGUGAGUGAGUAGAUGGAUGGCUGGACAGUGACAUGCAGAGGCAGG